CCCUCCCUAGCCCAACCGGCAGAGGCAGCCGGCUCAAACCCGGCCCAGUGCAGGUUCGAACCCUGCGAGAGGGACCA
RNAcentral lists this transfer RNA (77 nucleotides) under Deinococcus indicus. Its description in RNAcentral is "tRNA-Leu". It matches the Rfam family "tRNA". From Rfam's summary of the family: Transfer RNA (tRNA) molecules are approximately 80 nucleotides in length. Their secondary structure includes four short double-helical elements and three loops (D, anti-codon, and T loops). Further hydrogen bonds mediate the characteristic L-shaped molecular structure. tRNAs have two regions of fundamental functional importance: the anti-codon, which is responsible for specific mRNA codon recognition, and the 3' end, to which the tRNAs corresponding amino acid is attached (by aminoacyl-tRNA synthetases). tRNAs cope with the degeneracy of the genetic code in two manners: having more than one tRNA (with a specific anti-codon) for a particular amino acid; and 'wobble' base-pairing, i.e. permitting non-standard base-pairing at the 3rd anti-codon position. Lineage: Bacteria; Thermotogati; Deinococcota; Deinococci; Deinococcales; Deinococcaceae. The record is from RNAcentral.